This 468-nucleotide ribosomal RNA is filed under the name uncultured bacterium. RNAcentral describes it as "partial 16S ribosomal RNA". It matches the Rfam family "Bacterial small subunit ribosomal RNA", at positions 28 to 507 of the family's 1533-position model. The record is from RNAcentral.
GACGAACGCUGGCGGCGUGCUUAACACAUGCAAGUCGAACGGAAAGGCCCUGCUUUUGGGGGGCGCUCGAGUGGCGAACGGGUGAGUAACACGUGAGUAACCUGCCCCUGACUUAGGGAUAUCUUCAGGUAACUGGGGCUCAUACCGGAUAGGAGUUCCUGCUGCAUGGUGGGGGUUGGCAAGUUUGGGUGGUUGGGGAUGGACUUGCGGCCUAUCAGCUUGUUGGUGGGGUAGUGGCUUACCAAGGCUUUGACGGGUAGCCGGCCUGAGAGGGGGACCGGCCAAAUUGGAACGGGACUCGGGCCCGGCCUCCUCCGGGAGGCAGCGGGGGGGAUAAUUGACAAAUGGGCGGAGCCCGAAGCAGGAAAGGCCGGUGGCGGGAUAAGGGCUUUGGGUUGGUAAACGGCUUUAGCCGGUGAGGAGGUGUGAGUGACGGUAAUGGGAGAAGAAGCACCGGCUAACUACGUG